GAACCAGGUGGGAACAAGGGCGGACCUGUUGGGAACAGGGGCCUGGCCGUGUAGCUGCAGGGGCGGACCUUACGGGUGGUGGGCGGGCCUUAUGGGUGGUGGGCGGGCCGUGUGCGGCAGGAGGCGGGGCUCGGGCGCCUUGGGGCGGGGCCGAUUGGGGUGUGACCUUUCGCAGGUGGUUGGUCACGUCCAGCAGGCGGUGGGGUCCUCCUGGUGGUGACCUCGCGAGAGGACAGAGGCGGCACCUGACUGCAUGCGCAGAAGUGCGCUGCGUGAGCUCGAGUUAGACCCCGGGCGGGAAGCACUACGGCCCCCGCAGGCGAGUCUGCAGUGGCGAGAGCGCUGAUUCUGGGGACAGCCAGCCUGCCAGCCCAUACAGGUGGCCCCGACACCGCGCCGGCACCCGGUUAGCCGUUACGAAUUCUCAAAAAUGCUUGGAAAUUGACUAUUUUGGAGAAAACACGCAACCUGAGGAGGAUUUGAAUGGCAGAGCUGGAUGAACUUCCUCUCGGCAAACACUUGUGGAACUCCUAAGGUGUGCCAGUGCGGAUUCCAAGAGCAGGGAGGACCGCUCAAGGACAGGCCGGGUCUUUACAGGUGUGUUCAAGGUAGGAUCAUUAGGACGGGCCCUAAUUCAACAUGAGCGACAUCAUCAGAAGAGAAGAGACAGAGAAGACGGGUGCGAGAAGAUGAGGCUGAGACUGUAGUAUGCGGUCCAAACAAAGACGUUCCUGGGGCACCAGAAGGUGGAAGAAGGCGGGACUCUUCUCCAGAGCCUGGUUUCAAACUUCUGGGCUCCAGAAAGGGACAUUUUAGGCACUACAAAUAUGCUGUUGAUACAUACAUCAAAUGAUGGAGGAAACUAUUCACCAGAAGCCCUGUUAAGAGAAGUGGCUCGGCUUGGUCAGACUUUUUGUAGUCUUCAGAGGCUGCCGGCAGGCUAAGUCCCUUCAGUUGUCCUACUCUGUGCAACCCUGCCGGGAGCCGUUGUGGGAGAUCCCACCCAUGACGAGGUCAUGAAGAAAACACCUGACACGCAAGGCCAUUCAGGAUCCCGUCCAUGACGAGGUCAUGAGGAAAAAACCUGGCACACAAGGCCGUUCAGGAUACAAGGGACCCUCCAGGUUGGCCUCGGCCUCUACCCCACCCUGUAUCCUCCCCCCUUUUUCUGCUGUUGUUCUUGUUUGCCCUGCUGCAGAUUCUUGUGUUGCCUGCCGAGAGCUCUCCUGCUCCUCUUUCACUGAAUAAAGACCAACUUAAAAUGCUAACUAAUAAAUCUCCUGGAUGCUGGUACCCUAUGAAGGGGCCAGGGAUGCAGGAGCUGCUUCAAUUCAAACCCUUUUGCUCGCAUUCUGGCUUGUUUGAUAAAUGUAUGCUCCUAUUGCAAAAAAUGCUCGUGAUUUUUCUAAACAUCCUAAGCACAGUACGCUAACAAAAGAAACUGUUAAGCAUAGGUCCCUCCAUGGGGUGAGAAAAGCUCCACAAAUAAUAGUCACAAAUGUGCCUAAUAGAAAAUACUUUAGAUAGAGAUUAGCUGGUGACUUCUUGCAGGUAGUUAACUUUUAGACUAAGAGCCUGUUUUGUGCCAUAUCUGCUGUUUUUGCAGUCCUUCACAUUUCUGUUCUGUAAUAAUGUAAUCCUAUCUAGUUCCCAUGGAGAUGACGCCUAUUAGAAAGAAAAACAGGGUCGGCUACUGAAGUUGCUUAAGUCGCACCAGAUGCAAGCCAUAACAUGUUAGCAGGCCUGAAGGCCAAAUGAUAAGAAAGACUCUUGUGAACGAAAAGUAUGUGGGUGACAUCCUGUUUCUGUUGAAGGUCAAGUUGCUGUAAUGUUUUGCGAUGACCUGUGUGUAAGCAAUAUGCACUUCCCCCAAAGAUGUUGUUAAGGGUAUAAAGGGCCAGUGCAAAAAUAAACUUCAGACUUAGCCCCCGAGCUUUGUCUCACUGUCUCAUUCGCCGACGCUGUUCAUCCUGAGGGUUCCUCUGGAUCCU
Dama dama (fallow deer) is the source of this 1991-nucleotide long non-coding RNA. RefSeq lists it as uncharacterized. The record is from RefSeq and is a predicted model, not a curated record. The transcript is spliced from 3 exons. Lineage: Eukaryota; Metazoa; Chordata; Mammalia; Artiodactyla; Cervidae.